CCUACGGGUGGCUGCAGUGAGGAAUAUUGGUCAAUGGGAGGAAUCCUGAACCAGCCAUGCCGCGUGCAGGACGACGGCUCUACGAGUUGUAAACUGCUUUUGUACCGGGGUAAAAUGCUCUACGAGUAGGGUUUUGAAAGUACGGUACGAAUAAGGAUCGGCUAACACCGUGCCAGCAGCCGCGGUAAUACGGAGGAUCCGUGCGUUAACCGGAUUCCUUGGGUUGAAAAGGGGCGUAGGUUGUUUUAUACGGUAGCGGUGAAAUACCGAUGCUCAACAUCGGGGCUGGCGCUAAUACUGUAGGACUAGAGAGCGGAUGCAGCAGGCGGAAUGUGUAGGGUAGCGGUGAAAUGCAUAGAUAUUACACAGAACACCGAGUGCGAAGGCAGCUUGCGAGGCCGGAUCUGACACUGAUGCACGAAAGCGUGGGGAUCGAACAGGAUUAGAUACCCCAGUAGUC
RNAcentral lists this ribosomal RNA (460 nucleotides) under uncultured bacterium. Its description in RNAcentral is "partial 16S ribosomal RNA". It matches the Rfam family "Bacterial small subunit ribosomal RNA", at positions 338 to 795 of the family's 1533-position model. The record is from RNAcentral.